AGGGAAUCUUCCACAAUGGACGGAAGUCUGAUGGAGCAACGCCGCGUGAGUGAUGAAGGUUUUCGGAUCGUAAAACUCUGUUGUAAGGGAAGAACCAGUACGUCAGGCAAUGGACGUACCUUGACGGUACCUUAUUAGAAAGCCACGGCUAACUCCGUGCCAGCAGCCGCGGUAAUACGGAGGAUGCGAGCGUUAUCCGGAUUUAUUGGGUUUAAAGGGUGCGCAGGCGGGCUUUUAAGUCAGCGGUGAAAUCUGGACGCUUAACGUCCAAACUGCCGUUGAAACUGGGAGUCUUGAGUAUGGAUGAAGUAGGCGGAAUUCGUUGUGUAGCGGUGACAUGCAUAGAUAUAACGAGGAACUCCGAUUGCGUAGGCAGCUUACUAAGCCAUAACUGACGCUCAUGCACGAAAGCGUGGGGAUCAAACA
Molecule: ribosomal RNA, 426 nt
Filed under: uncultured Dysgonomonas sp.
Lineage: Bacteria; Pseudomonadati; Bacteroidota; Bacteroidia; Bacteroidales; Dysgonomonadaceae
Description: bacterial SSU rRNA
Rfam family: Bacterial small subunit ribosomal RNA
Source: RNAcentral